CUAGCUGUAAACGAUGGAUACUAGGCGUUGAGAGUAUCGACCCUCUCAGUGUCGUAGCUAACGCGUUAAGUAUCCCGCCUGGGGAGUACGCGCGCAAGCGUGAAACUCAAAGGAAGUUGACGGGGGCCCGCACAAGCGGUGGAGUAUGUGGUUUAAUUCGAUGCAACGCGAAGAACCUUACCAGGGCUUGACAUGUCCGGAACCCUGCCCAAAGGCGGGGGUGCCUACGGGAACCGGAACACAGGUGGUGC
RNAcentral lists this ribosomal RNA (251 nucleotides) under uncultured Chroococcidiopsis sp. Its description in RNAcentral is "partial 16S ribosomal RNA". It matches the Rfam family "Bacterial small subunit ribosomal RNA", at positions 796 to 1044 of the family's 1533-position model. Lineage: Bacteria; Bacillati; Cyanobacteriota; Cyanophyceae; Chroococcidiopsidales; Chroococcidiopsidaceae. The record is from RNAcentral.